This 527-nucleotide ribosomal RNA is filed under the name uncultured bacterium. Its description in RNAcentral is "bacterial SSU rRNA". It matches the Rfam family "Bacterial small subunit ribosomal RNA", at positions 8 to 518 of the family's 1533-position model. The record is from RNAcentral.
AGAGUUGAUCAUGGCUCAGGACAAACGCUGGCGGCGUGCCUAACGACAUGCAAGUCGAGCGCGAAAGGGACCUUGGGUACCCCCUGAGAGCGGCGAACGGGUGAGUAACACGUGGGCAACCUGCCUCAAGGACUGGGAUAACGUCGGGAAACCGGCGCUAAUACCGGGCGAUGUAGUCUCGCGCAAGCGAGCCUACCAAAUGGUAGCUUCGGCCUCCGCCUUGAGAUGGGCCCGCGUCCUAUCGAGCUUGUUGGUGAGGUAAUGGCUCACCAAGGCUACGACGGGUAGCUGGUCUGAGAGGAUGAUCAGCCACACUGGGACUGAGAUACGGCCCAGACUCCUACGGGAGGCAGCAGUGGGGAAUCUUGCGCAAUGGGCGAAAGCCUGACGCAGACCAACGCCGCGUGAGCGAAGAAGGCCUUCGGGUUGUAAAGCUCUGUCAGGGGAAAGAAGGCACCUGGGUUAAUAGCCCAAGGGCUGACGGUACCCCCAAAGGAAGCCACGGCUAACUACGUGCCAGCCGCCGC